GGGCCCGCACAAGCGGUGGAGUAUGUGGUUUAAUUCGAUGCAACGCGAAGAACCUUACCAGGGUUUGACAUCCUGCGAAUCUCUUGGAAACGAGAGAGUGCCUUCGGGAACGCAGUGACAGGUGGUGCAUGGCUGUCGUCAGCUCGUGUCGUGAGAUGUUGGGUUAAGUCCCGCAACGAGCGCAACCCACGUCGUUAGUUGCCAGCAUUUAGUUGGGCACUCUAGCGAGACCGCCGGUGAUAAACCGGAGGAAGGUGUGGAUGACGUCAAGUCCUCAUGGCCCUUAUGGGUAGGGCUACACACGUCAUACAAUGGCUGGUACAAAGGGUUGCCAACCCGCGAGGGGGAGCUAAUCCCAUAAAGCCAGUCGUAGUCCGGAUCGUAGUCUGCAACUCGACUACGUGAAGUCGGAAUCGCUAG
Molecule: ribosomal RNA, 420 nt
Filed under: uncultured bacterium
Lineage: Bacteria
Description: bacterial SSU rRNA
Rfam family: Bacterial small subunit ribosomal RNA
Source: RNAcentral